UACGAAGGGUGCAAGCGUUACUCGGAAUUACUGGGCGUAAAGCGUGCGUAGGUGGUUCGUUAAGUCUGAUGUGAAAGCCCCGGGCUCAACCUGGGAAUUGCAUUCGAGACUGCAUUGCUGGAGUACGGAAGAGGAAGGCGGAAUUCCCGGUGUAGCGGUGAAAUGCGUAGAUAUCGGGAGGAACAUCAGUGGCGAAGGCGGCCUUCUGGUCCAGUACUGACACUCAAGUGCGAAAGCGUGGGGAGCAAACAGG
Molecule: ribosomal RNA, 253 nt
Filed under: uncultured bacterium
Lineage: Bacteria
Description: partial 16S ribosomal RNA
Rfam family: Bacterial small subunit ribosomal RNA
Source: RNAcentral